UGGCCAGACUCCUACGGGAGGCAGCAGUCGGGAAUAUUGCGCAAUGGAGGAAACUCUGACGCAGUGACGCCGCGUAUAGGAAGAAGGUUUUCGGAUUGUAAACUAUUGUCGUGAGGGAAGAAAUUGACAGUACCUCAGGAGGAAGCCCCGGCUAACUACGUGCCAGCAGCCGCGGUAAUACGUAGGGGGCAAGCGUUAUCCGGAUUUACUGGGUGUAAAGGGAGCGUAGACGGCGACGCAAGUCUGAAGUGAAAUGCCAGUGCUCAACACUGGAACUGCUUUGGAAACUGUGUGGCUAGAGUGCAGGAGAGGUAAGUGGAAUUCCUAGUGUAGCGGUGAAAUGCGUAGAUAUUAGGAGGAACACCAGUGGCGAAGGCGGCUUACUGGACUGUAACUGACGUUGAGGCUCGAAGGCGUGGGGAGCAAACAGGAUUAGAUACCCCUGUA
RNAcentral lists this ribosomal RNA (447 nucleotides) under uncultured bacterium. RNAcentral describes it as "bacterial SSU rRNA". It matches the Rfam family "Bacterial small subunit ribosomal RNA", at positions 328 to 792 of the family's 1533-position model. The record is from RNAcentral.